CUUUACGACUCCGUUUCUAGCACCACCAUUCUUCUUAGCCACCGCGUCGUCGCUUCUGCUGUAGUCGAUCUCUACAUCAUACAGGCCAACACAGAGAGGCAAGCCCUCGCCAUCCUUUGUAUAAAUGGCGUUGAGAAUAGGGAUGCUCAAGACCGCAGUUGGUAAGUACGGGUGCACGUUGUCGCUCUUGAGAUGGGCUCACAUCGCAUCAAUGCCUUCACCGUUGGAUGGCUCCCUCCAACGCACGACGGCACCUCCAGAUAUGGUUUUGCCAGAGUUCGAUACGAACCCA
RNAcentral lists this unclassified non-coding RNA (292 nucleotides) under Hevea brasiliensis (rubber tree). The record is from RNAcentral. Lineage: Eukaryota; Viridiplantae; Streptophyta; Magnoliopsida; Malpighiales; Euphorbiaceae.